GAUGAAGAACGCAGCGAAAUGCGAUAAGUAGUGUGAAUUGCAGAAUUCAGUGAAUCAUCGAAUCUUUGAACGCUCAUUGCGCCCCCUGGUAUUCCGGGGGGCAUGCCUGUCCGAGCGUCAUUGCUGCCCUCAAGCACGGCUUGUGUGUUGGGCCUCCGUCCUCCUCCCGGGGGACGGGCCCGAAAGGCAGCGGCGGCACCGCGUCCGGUCCUCGAGCGUAUGGGGCUUCGUCACCCGCUCUUGUAGGCCCGGCCGGCGCUUGCCGACACAUCAAUCUUUUUUCCAGGUUGACCUCGGAUCAGGUAGGGAUACCCGCUGAACUUAAGCAUAUCAAUAAGCGGAGGA
Molecule: unclassified non-coding RNA, 345 nt
Filed under: soil metagenome
Description: partial contains 5.8S ribosomal RNA, internal transcribed spacer 2, and large subunit ribosomal RNA
Rfam family: 5.8S ribosomal RNA (bases 1-120)
Source: RNAcentral